This 201-nucleotide ribosomal RNA is filed under the name Triticum aestivum (bread wheat). RNAcentral describes it as "partial small subunit ribosomal RNA". Lineage: Eukaryota; Viridiplantae; Streptophyta; Magnoliopsida; Poales; Poaceae. The record is from RNAcentral.
AUGGUUUGGAAGGCUUGCCCCCCCCCCCAAAAGUCAAGUUCUUCGCUUGGCUGGCGUUGCAAGACAGAAUUUGGACCGCCGAUAGAUUGGCCAAAUGCGGGUGGCCCAACUGUGAUCUCUGCCCUCUUUGCAAGGGAGUGCAGGAAUGUGGGUCUCAUCUCUUCUUCAAAUGCCGCUACACACGAAGGCUUUGGUCCUUGA